GGCGGCGCGGCGGAGCUGAGGAUGAUCUCGCGAUACGCGCGGAAACCGGUGCCCCUCGGCGCUCUGGAGAUGUGAGUCGCCGCCGCCUCCUCCCGUCCCGGUCCCGCCCGCUGUCCCGGUCCCCGCCGCCCCUGCCCCCGCCGCCCCAGCCAGGCCCAGCUCCCGCCUGGUGCCGCGCUCGGGCCUGCCCGCCUUGCACUGCCCCUGAGCCCGAGAGCCGGGCCCCGUGCCAUGACAAGGCCCCAGUUACCGCGCGUCGCUGCGGGCGCAGCUUGUCGGUAGCGCCGGGGUGGGCCGAGUUUAACACGGAGUUGCAGGGACUCGGUGCCGUUAUCGCGGUGCGGCGGCCUGUGCCAAGGCUGAAGCCAGCGGUGCUGCCUCUGGAGGUGCCGGGCGUGAGGGCAGCCGCGGUAACGCGCGCACACCGAUCCUGGCCAGCGAGCGUGCUCGUCGCUUGGAAAACAUAAGUGUGAGAGAACGCGAUUAAAUCCCUGGUCUUGUCCUCUUGUUUUUUGACCCAAGAGGUAACUGGAGUGUAGGCGCUUUGGGGUUUGGGUUUGGUUUUUUUGAGGGGUGGAUGAGCGAGAAGUUUAAACAAAUAGAACAGUUUCAGUAAAUCGCUGUUUUGAUGCUGCCUUGUUUAUGUUUAAUUCUGUCGUCUUUUCUAAACAGCAGAGAAAUGACAGGACAGCUUCUUUACCUAAGGCUUUUUCAGCUGAUACUUGGGACUUUUGCUCCUGCAUUAAUAAUUCUCUGUCUCCAACUACUGUGACUUUUCUUGUGCUUCUUUCCUAAACAUCUGAACUUCAAACCAAAAAGCUUACAAAUACUAUUUCUUCUAGCUUGCCUGUGCACAGUUUGGUGGCUCCUUUUGGUCUGCUUGAUUCUAAGUCUCCUACAGAGAUAAUGACAUUGUAUCUGCUUUUAGAGAACUGUAGGCCAAUUUACAAUAUUUUAAGGGUAAAGGAAGACACUGAUUUUUAAGCAAAAACCUUUAACUCCAUGUUUAGCCUAGAGUUAGUUUUGAUACCUUAAUUCUAAAGCUUUGGUAACAAAGAUUAGCCUUCUAAUAUUAAUAAAUGACCUCUGGUAUGCAAAUUAGUGCAUUCCUUGAAAGGCAGGGAAAAACCCAACAAAAAACACUGUAAAACUUGGGAACGCUGUAGAUGUUUAUUCCUGUAAGUAAUGUCAAGUUCCACUUGUUUUGUUUAGACAAGGACUUCCAAAACAUGCCUUGCGGCAUCACCCACUGCCAGAACCAGGAGCUGAGGUGUGCCCAGCCACACCCACGGCUGAAAACCCUGGCAAGACCUCAAGGGAGUCUGAAAUCCGGAAGGAAUCGGAUUACCCUUCUGUUACUCCAGCUGAUCAUGGGAAUUCAUGGUCUGCUAGUCAGGGUUGUGCUGACGCCUCCACUGAAGAGAGCUCAGCCUUCUCUUGGGGCUACGAUGUGAGUAGAACAUGAUCAUUCAAGCCAAAUCUAGCACAGUGAGUAGAAAGACAUUUGAAAUACCAUACUUGCAAAUACAUUGCAGGAUAACAAUGAGGAUUGGAUCUCUCCCUAAAUCAUAAAAGAACAUCUUCUUUACCUCUUCCCCAUCAUUCCUUUCUCUCAGAUCAAAUCAUAUUAGGCUCAUGUUACUCAAUUAAUAUUCUGCAUUAAUAUUCCAUCUAGUAUUUUGAAAAUGCAAAUCAUGUAACGCAUAAGUGUAUCUGUACAACAUAAUAAAUGCUACUGUU
Long non-coding RNA from Strigops habroptila (Kakapo), 1740 nucleotides. The record is from Ensembl. NCBI's taxonomy places the organism in Eukaryota, Metazoa, Chordata, Aves, Psittaciformes, Psittacidae.